GACGAACGCUGGCGGCGUGCCUAAUACAUGCAAGUAGAACGCUGAAGGAGGAGCUUGCUUCCCUGGAUGAGUUGCGAACGGGUGAGUAACGCGUAGGUAACCUGCCUGGUAGCGGGGGAUAACUAUUGGAAACGAUAGCUAAUACCGCAUAAUAGCAGUUAUUGCAUGAUAACUGUUUGAAAGGUGCAAAUGCACCACUACCAGAUGGACCUGCGUUGUAUUAGCUAGUUGGUGGGGUAACGGCUCACCAAGGCGACGAUACAUAGCCGACCUGAGAGGGUGAUCGGCCACACUGGGACUGAGACACGGCCCAGACUCCUACGGGAGGCAGCAGUAGGGAAUCUUCGGCAAUGGACGGAAGUCUGACCGAGCAACGCCGCGUGAGUGAAGAAGGUUUUCGGAUCGUAAAGCUCUGUUGUAAGAGAAGAACGAGUGUGAGAGGGAAAGUUCACACUGG
RNAcentral lists this ribosomal RNA (457 nucleotides) under Streptococcus mitis. RNAcentral's name for it is "bacterial SSU rRNA". It matches the Rfam family "Bacterial small subunit ribosomal RNA", at positions 28 to 472 of the family's 1533-position model. Lineage: Bacteria; Bacillati; Bacillota; Bacilli; Lactobacillales; Streptococcaceae. The record is from RNAcentral.